RNAcentral lists this ribosomal RNA (301 nucleotides) under uncultured bacterium. Its description in RNAcentral is "partial 16S ribosomal RNA". It matches the Rfam family "Bacterial small subunit ribosomal RNA", at positions 509 to 809 of the family's 1533-position model. The record is from RNAcentral.
CAGCCGCCGCGGUAAUACGUAGGUGGCGAGCGUUGUCCGGAAUUAUUGGGCGUAAAGGGCUCGCAGGCGGUUUCUUAAGUCUGAUGUGAAAGCCCCCGGCUCAACCGGAGAGGGUCAUUGGAAACCGGGAAACUUGAGUGCAGAAGAGGAGAGUGGAAUUCCACGUGUAGCGGCGAAAUGCGUAGAGAUGUGGAGGAACACCAGUGGCGAAGGCGACUCUCUGGUCUGUAUCUGACGCUGAGGAGCGAAAGCGUGGGGAGCGGACAGGAUUAGAUACCCCGGUAGUCCCUGUCUCUUAUAU